This 266-nucleotide unclassified non-coding RNA is filed under the name fungal sp. RNAcentral describes it as "partial internal transcribed spacer region". The stretch from base 1 to 46 matches the Rfam family "Eukaryotic small subunit ribosomal RNA", at positions 1786 to 1831 of the family's 1831-position model. The record is from RNAcentral. Lineage: Eukaryota; Fungi.
AAGUCGUAACAAGGUUUCCGUAGGUGAACCUGCGGAAGGAUCAUUGCAGCAGUCAUGCCGAGGGGUUGAAGCUGGCCUCCGGGCACCCGUGCUCGCCCCUCGGCUUUCCACGCUCACGCACCUGUGCACUCGCGGCGAGGGGGGUUAACCCCCCCCCUCCCGUUCUCUCACACCCACGCCAGUUUGUAAACGCAUGUGAACAUCGUGCGCCCCGAGGGGCCACGUGAACUUAGAAACAACUUUCAACAACGGAUCUCUUGGCUUUC